This 519-nucleotide ribosomal RNA is filed under the name uncultured eukaryote. RNAcentral describes it as "SSU rRNA". It matches the Rfam family "Eukaryotic small subunit ribosomal RNA", at positions 1161 to 1699 of the family's 1831-position model. The record is from RNAcentral.
AGGGCACCACCAGGAGUGGAGCCUGCGGCUUAAUUUGACUCAACACGGGAAAACUCACCCGGCCCGGACACUGGAAGGAUUGACAGAUUGAGAGCUCUUUCUUGAUUCAGUGGGUGGUGGUGCAUGGCCGUUCUUAGUUGGUGGAGUGAUUUGUCUGGUUAAUUCCGACAACGAACGAGACUCUAGCCUACUAAAUAGAUCGUCGGCUUACAAACGCCGGCGAGACUUCUUAGAGGGACAGGCGGUGAUUCAACCGCACGAAACAGAGCAAUAACAGGUCUGUGAUGCCCUUAGAUGUCCGGGGCCGCACGCGCGCUACACUGAAGUGAUCAGCGUGCUUUUUCAACCUACUCUGUCAAGAGUGGGGAACCCAAUGAACCUUCUUCGUGAUUGGGAUAGGGGAUUGUAAUUAUUCCCCUUGAACGAGGAAUUCCCAGUAAGCGCGAGUCAUAAGCUCGCGUUGAUUACGUCCCUGCCCUUUGUACACACCGCCCGUCGCUACUACCGAUUGAACGAUUU